UUGCCUACGGGACGCAGCAGUAGGGAAUCUUCCACAAUGGGCGAGAUCCUGAACCAGCCAAGCCGCGUGAGGGAAGACGGCCCUAUGGGUUGUAAACCUCUUUUGUCGGAGAACAAAACCCGGGACGUGUCCCGGACUGCGUGUAUCCGAAGAAAAAGCAUCGGCUAACCCCGUGCCAGCAGCCGCGGUAAUACGGAGGAUGCGAGCGUUAUCCGGAUUUAUUGGGUUUAAAGGGUGCGUAGGCGGUCCGUUAGGUCAGCGGUAAAAUUGCGGGGCUCAACCCCGUCGAGCCGUUGAAACUGGCA
This 305-nucleotide ribosomal RNA is filed under the name uncultured bacterium. Its description in RNAcentral is "bacterial SSU rRNA". It matches the Rfam family "Bacterial small subunit ribosomal RNA", at positions 335 to 638 of the family's 1533-position model. The record is from RNAcentral.